GACUCCGGUUGAUCCUGCCGGACCCCACUGCUAUCGGGAUGGGACUAAGACAUGCUAGUUGAGCGCCUUCCAGCCACGAAGAAGGCGCAGCGCACAGCUCAGUAACGCGUGGCUAACCUGCCCUUGGGACGGGAAUACCCCCGGGAAACUGGGGCUAAUUCCAGAUAGGUGAAUAACUCUGGAAUGAGUUUUCGACAAAAAACAUUUAGAUCAUGCUCUAGGUGUUGCCCAAGGAUGGGGCCGCGACCGAUCAGGUUGUUGGCGAGGUAAUGGCUCACCAAGCCUUUUACCGGUGCGGGCCGUGGGAGCGGAAGCCCGGAGAUGGGCACUGAGACAAGGGCCCAGGCCCUACGGGGCGCAGCAGUCGCGAAAACUUUGCAAUAAGCGAAAGCUUGACAGGGCUAUCCCGAGUGCCAUCCGCUGAGGAAGGCUUUUACCUAGUGUAGACCGCUAGGGGAAUAAGGAGAGGGCAAGUCUGGUGUCAGCCGCCGCGGUAAUACCAGCUCUUCGAGUGGUGUGGAUGUUUAUUGGGCCUAAAGCAUCCGUAGCUGGCUAG
This 556-nucleotide ribosomal RNA is filed under the name Candidatus Bathyarchaeota archaeon. Its description in RNAcentral is "bacterial SSU rRNA". It matches the Rfam family "Archaeal small subunit ribosomal RNA", at positions 1 to 532 of the family's 1478-position model. Lineage: Archaea; Thermoproteati; Candidatus Bathyarchaeota. The record is from RNAcentral.